UGUCCAUGGUAGGGACACAAAUUUAACAGAUCUUUAAAAUGCUCCUAAGCUUGAUAGAGAGUUUCAUUUUCUUUUUGAGCAAAAUUCGAGAUUUGCCAUUUCAAAUU
Non-coding RNA from Morus notabilis, 107 nucleotides. Lineage: Eukaryota; Viridiplantae; Streptophyta; Magnoliopsida; Rosales; Moraceae. The record is from Rfam.